Molecule: ribosomal RNA, 503 nt
Filed under: uncultured bacterium
Lineage: Bacteria
Description: partial 16S ribosomal RNA
Rfam family: Bacterial small subunit ribosomal RNA
Source: RNAcentral
AUUGAACGCUGGCGGCAGGCUUAACACAUGCAAGUCGAGCGGAGUGAUGGUGCUUGCACUAUCACUUAGCGGCGGACGGGUGAGUAAUGCUUAGGAAUCUGCCUAUUAGUGGGGGACAACAUCUCGAAAGGGAUGCUAAUACCGCAUACGUCCUACGGGAGAAAGCAGGGGAUCACUUGUGACCUUGCGCUAAUAGAUGAGCCUAAGUCGGAUUAGCUAGUUGGUGGGGUAAAGGCCUACCAAGGCGACGAUCUGUAGCGGGUCUGAGAGGAUGAUCCGCCACACUGGGACUGAGACACGGCCCAGACUCCUACGGGAGGCAGCAGUGGGGAAUAUUGGACAAUGGGGGGAACCCUGAUCCAGCCAUGCCGCGUGUGUGAAGAAGGCCUUAUGGUUGUAAAGCACUUUAAGCGAGGAAGAGGCUCUUUUGGUUAAUACCCAAGAUGAGUGGACGUUACUCGCAGAAUAAGCACCGGCUAACCCUGUGCCAGCCGCCGCAGUAA